GAAUAAAAAAACGGCUUAAGGAAUUAAUUCAUUUCUUUCAAUUCUUUUACAUUUUGAAUUAGUUAACGGAUAACGAUUAUUCAUACAUAUAUAAAGCGAUUGUUAAAGGAUUUUUGUUCUAACCGAGAAUCGUGCAAGGAUUACGAGUAAACUUUUAAUGCUAACGCCAACAGAACAGUGAAUAGAAAUUGUGUGCGCAAAUG
Molecule: long non-coding RNA, 203 nt
Organism: Glossina fuscipes
Lineage: Eukaryota; Metazoa; Arthropoda; Insecta; Diptera; Glossinidae
Exons: 2
Source: RefSeq, a predicted model, not a curated record